ACGCUUGAAGUCAGUCACAUUGACUGGAAAUCAACCUUGCUUUUGCUUGGUGUAUUUUCUGGCUUGAUGGGUCAGCAUCAAUUUUGGUCGCUGGAUAAAGGCUUGGGGAAUGUGGCAUCUUAGGAUGUGUUAUAGCCCUUGGUUGCAUACAGCGGUUGGGAUUGAGGAACUCAGCACGCCGCAAGGCCGGGUCAAUUUUGACCACGUUUACGUGCUUAGGAUGCUGGCAUAAUGGCUUUAAUCGACCCGUCUUGAAACACGGACCAAGGAGUC
RNAcentral lists this ribosomal RNA (273 nucleotides) under Mallocybe sp. JV5968. RNAcentral describes it as "partial large subunit ribosomal RNA". The record is from RNAcentral. Lineage: Eukaryota; Fungi; Basidiomycota; Agaricomycetes; Agaricales; Inocybaceae.